RNAcentral lists this ribosomal RNA (701 nucleotides) under Chydoridae environmental sample. RNAcentral's name for it is "partial large subunit ribosomal RNA". It matches the Rfam family "Eukaryotic large subunit ribosomal RNA", at positions 646 to 1283 of the family's 3401-position model. The record is from RNAcentral. Lineage: Eukaryota; Metazoa; Arthropoda; Branchiopoda; Diplostraca; Chydoridae.
GACCCGUCUUGAAACACGGACCAAGGAGUCUAACAUGUGCGCGAGUCGUCGAGUCUAAACGAAACUCGCGAGGCGCAAUGAAAGUGAAGCUCGGCCCCGAUGAGGGUGCCGCGAGGGGAGAUCCCGUCUCGAAUAGAGCGGGCGCAUCCCCAGGGCGUUCGAUGCCGCGAAUUUUAAGCCGGCCGAACGAACCCGGAGCGCACACGUUGGGACCCGAAAGAUGGUGACCUAUGCCUGGCCAGGUCGAAGCCAGGGGAAACCCUGGUGGAGGACCGCAGCGAUUCUGACGUGCAAAUCGAUCGUCGGAGUUGGGUAUAGGGGCGAAAGACUAAUCGAACCAUCUAGUAGCUGGUUCCCCCCGAAGUUUCCCUCAGGAUAGCUGGUGCUCGCACAGAAAACGAACGGAGUUUCAUCCGGUAAAGCGAAUGAUUAGAGGCCUUGGGGUCGAAACGACCUCAACCUAUUCUCAAACUUUCAAUGGGUGAGAAGCCCGGCCUUUCGAUCCUUGAUUGAGGCCGCGGCCAUUCGAAUCUGAGCACCCAGUGGGCCAUUUUUGGUAAGCAGAACUGGCGCUGUGGGAUGAACCAAACGCCCGGUUAAGGCGCCUAAACGACGCACAUUUCGGAUCCCACGAAAAGGAGUUGGUUGCUAAAGACAGCAGGACGGUGGCCAUGGAGGUCGGAAUCCGCUAAGGAGUGUGU